Molecule: unclassified non-coding RNA, 169 nt
Filed under: soil metagenome
Description: partial contains 5.8S ribosomal RNA, internal transcribed spacer 2, and large subunit ribosomal RNA
Source: RNAcentral
AACGCACGAGACCUGCGGACCUGCGGAGGGAUCAAUUUGGGUGAUGGGGGAGUUGGGGGUUUGAGGGGGUUUUUACCCCCUCUCCUCUGAGAUCUCUACGUUUACGCUUGUUUGUUUGACAGAGUAGAAGAGUAUCUAAAAUCUACACAACUUUUAACAACGGAUCUCU